UUUGAAAUACUGACCUGUAAAUUUCCCUUUGAUAAAAAGGACUGCAAAAGAAGUUGGGAACCCAGCUGAGGUAAGAAGAAAGGGUGCCUUUUAUUCAUGUGCUUUAGGGAAGUAGGAGAGUCUAAUGAGCAAGAAUAGAGAAGUGCUUUCUUCCUAAUGAAUAGGUAACCCACAUGAAUGCCCUUGGUUUACCCAUUUGGCGAAACCUGAAAUGGAAAACACUGCCAAGUCAUGCCUCAAUGAAUAGCUUCGUUUGAGAAUUCUGAACAUGUCAAGGGGGCAGUGCUAAACGAACAUGUUUUUAUUCAUCUUGGAAGCCUUGUAGGGUAAUUAGGGAAGUGGGGACACUCAGAUUGAGUAAGGAGUGGCAUUCAGGCUAUUUUAGGGACAGACUGUGGUGGCAGCUGCUGAAAACCAAGAAUUUUCCAAAGGCUACAGGGGAUAGGAUAACACUCAGUAGGGCUUUUGAAGAUGAAAUCCACAGUUUAAGGCCCUCCUGACAUCCCUGGUUUGAUUUCAACUUUGAUUAUGCAUGAGGUAACACUCAUAUUUAUUUCCAUUGUUCUUUAAUAUGCUGUUGUCCUUUUAAAAGACUGACCCAAAUGGAGGGACUGAUUUUGGAGUUUUGCAAAUAGCAACCACAGUGUGUGUGUGUGUGUGUGUGUGUGUGUGUGUGUGUGUGUGUGUGUACUGAUGAGACAGAGAGAAAGAGGGAGAUGGAUAGACAGAAAGGCAGAGUCAUCAGAAACAGAAAAAUUUGACUGUGUUUCCAUUUCCCUCCCCAAGUUGAAUAGCUUUAGUUCAUCUCACGUGUAGCUUGAGUCCAAUAAAGUGACUAAAUCCUGAUUCUGCUCUUUCCUCAGAACUUAUUGAGAGAUUGUAAGUUGCAAGAAGCCCUUGAUCUCCUGGGGAAGGUCUCAGCAGAAACAUCACUUCCUCGGGGAAGCCUUACAACCUGCUAAACCAGUCUGGGACCUUCUUAUUCCCACAAAGCCUAGAUAUUUUCUCCUUUGCAUCCUGAACCACAUCCUGCUUUUCCAGGGUCAGUUUUUGCCACUUGACUGAAGAGUCCAUGAGGUUAAGUUCCAUGAGCCUGGAACACAACAGGUGUUCAAUCAGUGUUGAAUAAGUAUGAGAUGACAGUCAGGACAGGCGACAGGCAAAGUCAGUGGACGCAGAGGACUGUCAAGCAGGACUGAGACGUCAGCAUUGUAAAAUGCUCCUGGGAGGUGAAAUCAGACCAGCAGGAAAAAGAAAACUAAAAUUAUCUACAGACUUUGUUGGUAAGGAAGCAAUUGUUAUGCGCAGCUUUAGAAGAAUAGCAAGUAAAAGAAGACUGCAUUCAUCUGAGAAACCAAAGUGGAGGAAGUCAAGAAGGCAACUGGACACAGAUUUUUAAGAAUACACAGAUUAACAGCUAGAAAGAAUCAGGUGAAGGAGGCAGCAGAAAAAGGAAGAGGUUGAAAUAUACAAGAGAGAAACCAUUAAGAAGUAAAGACGCAAGCCACACAUGGGAAAAAAAUAUUUGUAGCCUAUAUAAAUACUAAUAGAUUUAUAUCCAGAAUCCACAAAAAAACCCUAAUAUCAAUUAAUUUAAAAAAUCAAAUUGAAAAAUUGGUAAAGGACUUGAACAAGCAUCAUACAAGGAGGAAUUCAAAUGGCCAACAGGUAUGAGAAAGGUGCUUAAUCAUGCUGACAUUAGGGAAAGACUUCAAAAAAACAAGGCACCACUGCCAUCCUUCUGAAAAGGAGGGGAGAAGGACUAUGAAUAUAGAUGUAUCUGGAGGUCUGAGAGUGAGCAGUUAAGGCAGCUCAGGCCUGUCUUUUUUUUCAGCAUGAGAGAAGCUGUCAGUGACAUAAGUACUUAAGGUGAUCCAUUAAGAUUUGGAAUAAUCAUUCUGAGGAAUGUGAGUGCAUGAUCUUUGGAACAAGAAUAUAAUCCCUGUAAAAGUUU
Leopardus geoffroyi (Geoffroy's cat) is the source of this 1954-nucleotide long non-coding RNA. RefSeq lists it as uncharacterized. The record is from RefSeq and is a predicted model, not a curated record. Lineage: Eukaryota; Metazoa; Chordata; Mammalia; Carnivora; Felidae. The transcript has 2 exons.